GAAUUCAAAGUGCAUUUCAUUUGAUGCCAUUUUGAUUUGUUCGCCAUGGAUUGUUUGAAUCUGAUUGUUCUGUUGUAGAUCCGAUUUGGCCACUAAAUUGCUUUCUGCCAUUGGUUUUGCUGUUGAAUUGUCUGCUGAAUUGCGUUGCAUUCAUCUUCUUCUUUUCCCCCCAUUUUUCAGCCGAAACCUUUGAUAUAUUUGGUACAUUAAUAUUUUAAAUUUUAAAUUUCUGAUUUAGGCUGAUGAAAGUAUCAUUGUUAUUUUUCACACAUUGAUUUGUUUUAUCUGUAGGAGAAAAAGGGCCAUGCAUCAGCACCUUGCUGGUUUAUCACUGCAGAGGAGCUUGACUCUCUGUCAUCUUCAACUUCUACAUCAGCAUGUUUCAACUAAGUAGAUACAGCCAAAGCUGCCCAACCAAUCUCGGGUUUCAAUUUUUCUGCAUUGCAGCUAUAUGAGGGGGAGGCUCACACUGGACAAGGGGACGCUUCUGUCAAUGACAUGGCAACAUAUGUAGAUGCUAAUGCCCAGCUUAUUGUAGCCCCCAAAAAUAAGUUGGCAGAAGAUACUUGGAAAAAGGCUCUAGAACUAAGAGACAUUGCAAUGACAGAAGCGCUAAAAUGAAAACAUUUUUCCUUGAAACUGAUAUGAAAGGUCCAGGACUGAAGCUUGACAACACUGGAAAAGCAAUUCUGACUGU
Magnolia sinica is the source of this 697-nucleotide long non-coding RNA. RefSeq lists it as uncharacterized. NCBI's taxonomy places the organism in Eukaryota, Viridiplantae, Streptophyta, Magnoliopsida, Magnoliales, Magnoliaceae. The transcript is spliced from 4 exons. The record is from RefSeq and is a predicted model, not a curated record.